RNAcentral lists this ribosomal RNA (383 nucleotides) under uncultured eukaryote. RNAcentral describes it as "partial 18S ribosomal RNA". It matches the Rfam family "Eukaryotic small subunit ribosomal RNA", at positions 592 to 976 of the family's 1831-position model. The record is from RNAcentral.
CAAUAGCGUAUAUUAAAGUUGUUGCGGUUAAAAAGCUCGUAGUUGGAUCUCGGCAGGCAGGGGGUGGUUCGCUCUUAGCGCUACUGCCCCAUUUGCCUGUGUGAUUGGCGGAGGUUUCGGGGUGCUCUUCGUUGAGUGACCCGGGGCGCCGUCAGGUUUACUUUGAAAAAAUUAGAGUGCUCAAAGCAGGCUUUUCACGCUUGAAUAUUCGUGCAUGGAAUAAUGGAAUAGGAACUCGUUUCUAUUAUGUUGGUUUUCGGAAAUCGAGUUAAUGAUUAAUAGGGACAAUUGGGGGCAUUAGUAUUCAGACGACAGAGGUGAAAUUCUUGGACCGUCUGAAGACUAACUACUGCGAAAGCAUUUGCCAAGAGUGUUUUCAUUAA